GCUAGGCAUGGUGGCAUGCACCUGUAGUCCCAGCUAUUCAGGAGGGCUGAGCCCAGGAGUUCUGGGCUGUAGUGCACUAUACCAAUCAGGUGUCCGCACUAAGUUUAGCAUCAAUAAGGUAUACCCCCAGGGAGCUGGGGACCACCAGGUUGCCUAAGAAUGGGUGAACCGUUCCGGGUCGGAAAUGGAGCAGGUCAAAGUUCCCAUGCAGAUCAGUAGUGGGAUCAUGCCUAUGUACAGCCACUGCACUCCAGCCUGGGCAACAUAGU
Molecule: signal recognition particle RNA, 269 nt
Filed under: Pan paniscus (pygmy chimpanzee)
Lineage: Eukaryota; Metazoa; Chordata; Mammalia; Primates; Hominidae
Description: Metazoan signal recognition particle RNA (ENSPPAG00000022625.1)
Rfam family: Metazoan signal recognition particle RNA
About the family: The signal recognition particle (SRP) is a universally conserved ribonucleoprotein. It is involved in the co-translational targeting of proteins to membranes.
Source: Rfam by way of RNAcentral